CCUACGGGAGGCUGCAGUGAGGAAUAUUGGUCAAUGGACGAGAGUCUGGACCAGCCAAGUAGCGUGAAGGAUGACUGCCCUAUGGGUUGUAAACUUCUUUUAUAUGGGAAUAAAAUGUUCCACGUGUGGGUUUUUGUAUGUACCAUAUGAAUAAGGAUCGGCUAACUCCGUGCCAGCAGCCGCGGUAAUACGGAGGAUCCGAGCGUUGUCCGGAUUUAUUGGGUUUAAAGGGUGCGUAGGUGGAUUGUUAAGUCAGUUGUGAAAGUUUGCGGCUCAACCGUAGAAUUGCAGUUGAAACUGGCAGUCUUGAGUACAGUAGAGGUGGGCGGAAGUCGUGGUGUAGCGGUGAAAUGCUUAGAUAUCACGAAGAACUCCGAUUGCGAAGGCAGCUUACUAGACUGCGACUGACACUGAGGCUCGAAAGUGUGGGUAUCAAACAGGAUUAGAUACCCGUGUAGUC
RNAcentral lists this ribosomal RNA (460 nucleotides) under uncultured bacterium. Its description in RNAcentral is "partial 16S ribosomal RNA". It matches the Rfam family "Bacterial small subunit ribosomal RNA", at positions 338 to 795 of the family's 1533-position model. The record is from RNAcentral.